AGUGGGAUAGCUGGGUCAUCUGGUGGUUCCAUCCCUAGUUUUUUGAGGAAUGUCCAUCCUGUUUUCCAGAAUGGUUGUACUAGUCUGCAGUCCCACCAACAAU
RNAcentral lists this microRNA precursor (103 nucleotides) under Marmota monax (woodchuck). Lineage: Eukaryota; Metazoa; Chordata; Mammalia; Rodentia; Sciuridae. The record is from RNAcentral.